Molecule: ribosomal RNA, 301 nt
Filed under: uncultured bacterium
Lineage: Bacteria
Description: partial 16S ribosomal RNA
Rfam family: Bacterial small subunit ribosomal RNA
Source: RNAcentral
CAGUCGCCACGGGAAUACGAAGGGUGCAAGCGUUACUCGGAAUUACUGGGCGUAAAGCGUGCGUAGGUGGUGGUUUAAGUCCGUUGUGAAAGCCCUGGGCUCAACCUGGGAAUUGCAGUGGAUACUGGGUCACUAGAGUGUGGUAGAGGAUAGUGGAAUUUCCGGUGUAGCAGUGAAAUGCGUAGAGAUCGGAAGGAACAUCUGUGGCGAAGGCGACUAUCUGGGCCAACACUGACACUGAGGCACGAAAGCGUGGGGAGCAAACAGGAUUAGAUACCCCCGUAGUCCCUGUCUCUUAUAA